RNAcentral lists this ribosomal RNA (1465 nucleotides) under Enterobacter sp. PnB14. RNAcentral describes it as "bacterial SSU rRNA". It matches the Rfam family "Bacterial small subunit ribosomal RNA". Lineage: Bacteria; Pseudomonadati; Pseudomonadota; Gammaproteobacteria; Enterobacterales; Enterobacteriaceae. RNAcentral also lists the same sequence under 1 other name. The record is from RNAcentral.
AUUGAACGCUGGCGGCAGGCCUAACACAUGCAAGUCGAACGGUAGCACAGAGAGCUUGCUCUCGGGUGACGAGUGGCGGACGGGUGAGUAAUGUCUGGGAAACUGCCUGAUGGAGGGGGAUAACUACUGGAAACGGUAGCUAAUACCGCAUAACGUCGCAAGACCAAAGAGGGGGACCUUCGGGCCUCUUGCCAUCAGAUGUGCCCAGAUGGGAUUAGCUAGUAGGUGGGGUAACGGCUCACCUAGGCGACGAUCCCUAGCUGGUCUGAGAGGAUGACCAGCCACACUGGAACUGAGACACGGUCCAGACUCCUACGGGAGGCAGCAGUGGGGAAUAUUGCACAAUGGGCGCAAGCCUGAUGCAGCCAUGCCGCGUGUAUGAAGAAGGCCUUCGGGUUGUAAAGUACUUUCAGCGGGGAGGAAGGUGUUGAGGUUAAUAACCUCAGCAAUUGACGUUACCCGCAGAAGAAGCACCGGCUAACUCCGUGCCAGCAGCCGCGGUAAUACGGAGGGUGCAAGCGUUAAUCGGAAUUACUGGGCGUAAAGCGCACGCAGGCGGUCUGUCAAGUCGGAUGUGAAAUCCCCGGGCUCAACCUGGGAACUGCAUUCGAAACUGGCAGGCUAGAGUCUUGUAGAGGGGGGUAGAAUUCCAGGUGUAGCGGUGAAAUGCGUAGAGAUCUGGAGGAAUACCGGUGGCGAAGGCGGCCCCCUGGACAAAGACUGACGCUCAGGUGCGAAAGCGUGGGGGAGCAAACAGGAUUAGAUACCCUGGUAGUCCACGCCGUAAACGAUGUCGACUUGGAGGUUGUGCCCUUGAGGCGUGGCUUCCGGAGCUAACGCGUUAAGUCGACCGCCUGGGGAGUACGGCCGCAAGGUUAAAACUCAAAUGAAUUGACGGGGGGCCCGCACAAGCGGUGGAGCAUGUGGUUUAAUUCGAUGCAACGCGAAGAACCUUACCUACUCUUGACAUCCAGAGAACUUUCCAGAGAUGGAUUGGUGCCUUCGGGAACUCUGAGACAGGUGCUGCAUGGCUGUCGUCAGCUCGUGUUGUGAAAUGUUGGGUUAAGUCCCGCAACGAGCGCAACCCUUAUCCUUUGUUGCCAGCGGUCCGGCCGGGAACUCAAAGGAGACUGCCAGUGAUAAACUGGAGGAAGGUGGGGAUGACGUCAAGUCAUCAUGGCCCUUACGAGUAGGGCUACACACGUGCUACAAUGGCGCAUACAAAGAGAAGCGACCUCGCGAGAGCAAGCGGACCUCAUAAAGUGCGUCGUAGUCCGGAUUGGAGUCUGCAACUCGACUCCAUGAAGUCGGAAUCGCUAGUAAUCGUGGAUCAGAAUGCCACGGUGAAUACGUUCCCGGGCCUUGUACACACCGCCCGUCACACCAUGGGAGUGGGUUGCAAAAGAAGUAGGUAGCUUAACCUUCGGGAGGGCGCUUACCACUUUGUGAUUCAUGACUGGGGUGA